Molecule: non-coding RNA, 46 nt
Organism: Schistosoma rodhaini
Lineage: Eukaryota; Metazoa; Platyhelminthes; Trematoda; Strigeidida; Schistosomatidae
Source: Rfam
GUAAAGGCCCUUUUCAGGGCCACCCACUGUUUGAUUUCAAUUCCUU